Molecule: ribosomal RNA, 115 nt
Filed under: Danio rerio (zebrafish)
Lineage: Eukaryota; Metazoa; Chordata; Actinopteri; Cypriniformes; Danionidae
Source: RNAcentral
GCCGGCAGCUAGCUCUCUGCAACUGUCACAUGGUCGCCCACUGAAGCUAAGCAGGACUGCGCCCGAUCAGUACCUGGAUGGGAGACCACAUGGGAAAGCUAGGUUGCUGCCGGUG